RNAcentral lists this ribosomal RNA (437 nucleotides) under uncultured Oscillospiraceae bacterium. RNAcentral's name for it is "partial 16S ribosomal RNA". It matches the Rfam family "Bacterial small subunit ribosomal RNA", at positions 341 to 792 of the family's 1533-position model. The record is from RNAcentral. Lineage: Bacteria; Bacillati; Bacillota; Clostridia; Eubacteriales; Oscillospiraceae.
ACGGAAGGCAGCAGUGGGGAAUGUUGGGCAAUGGGCGAAAGCCUGACCCAGCAACGCCGCGUGAAGGAAGAAGGUCUUCGGAUUGUAAACUUCUUUUAUGAGGGACGAAGGACGUGACGGUACCUCAUGAAUAAGCCACGGCUAACUACGUGCCAGCAGCCGCGGUAAUACGUAGGUGGCAAGCGUUAUCCGGAUUUACUGGGUGUAAAGGGCGCGUAGGCGGGGAUGCAAGUCAGAUGUGAAAUCUAUGGGCUUAACUCAUAAACUGCAUUUGAAACUGUGUCUCUUGAGUGCUGGAGAGGUAGAUGGAAUUCCUUGUGUAGCGGUGGAAUGCGUAGAUAUAAGGAAGAACACCAGUGGCGAAGGCGAUCUACUGGACAGUAACUGACGCUGAGGCGCGAGAGCGUGGGGAGCAAACAGGAUUAGAUACCCUGGUA